RNAcentral lists this ribosomal RNA (258 nucleotides) under uncultured bacterium. RNAcentral's name for it is "partial 16S ribosomal RNA". It matches the Rfam family "Bacterial small subunit ribosomal RNA", at positions 96 to 354 of the family's 1533-position model. The record is from RNAcentral.
UGGCGGACGGGUGAGUAACACGUGAGCAACCUGCCUUUCAGUGGGGGACAACAGUUGGAAACGACUGCUAAUACCGCAUAACGUGCUUGGGGGGCAUCCCCCGAGUACCAAAGAUUUAUCGCUGAAAGAUGGGCUCGCGUCUGAUUAGAUAGUUGGUGAGGUAACGGCCCACCAAGUCGACGAUCAGUAGCCGGACUGAGAGGUUGAACGGCCACAUUGGGACUGAGACACGGCCCAGACUCCUACGGAAGGCAGCAG